This is a long non-coding RNA of Conger conger (European conger), 191 nucleotides long. RefSeq lists it as uncharacterized. The record is from RefSeq and is a predicted model, not a curated record. The transcript has 3 exons. Lineage: Eukaryota; Metazoa; Chordata; Actinopteri; Anguilliformes; Congridae.
GGAGUUUCAGACAGACUCCAUAUUAAUGUGGAUGGCCACAAUGAGAGCCGCCAUUUUGACCUUAUCAGCUCUGGCCCUUAUCUGGGGAGCCGCAGCCAUCGUCACAAUAUGGACGUGCCUGGUAAAAGAAAAUGAGAAAUUGAGGGACACCUGUGAGCUGUUGCACAAGGCACUGGACAUACGUGAAGGGG